GACGAACGCUGGCGGCGUGCUUAACACAUGCAAGUCGAACGGAAAGGCCUGCUUUCCCUUGUGGAUUGCGGGUACUCGAGUGGCGAACGGGUGAGUAACACGUGAGUGAUCUGCCCCCAACUUGGGUAUAAGCCUGGGAAACUGGGUCUAAUUCCCGAUAGGACUGCAGGGUGGUGCCUGUGGUGGAAAACGAUUUUCUAGUGGUUGGGGAUGAGCUCGCGGCCUAUCAGCUUGUUGGUGGGGUAAUGGCCUACCAAGGCGGCGACGGGUAGCCGGCCUGAGAGGGUGGACGGCCACAUUGGGACUGAGAUACGGCCCAGACUCCUACGGGAGGCAGCAGUGGGGAAUAUUGCACAAUGGGCGGAAGCCUGAUGCAGCGACGCCGCGUGGGGGAUGACGGCCUUCGGGUUGUAAACUCCUUUCGACCGCGAGGAAGCCACCUGGUUGGAAGGGUGGUGACGGUAGUGGUAGAAGAAGCACCGACUAACUACGUG
This 494-nucleotide ribosomal RNA is filed under the name uncultured bacterium. Its description in RNAcentral is "partial 16S ribosomal RNA". It matches the Rfam family "Bacterial small subunit ribosomal RNA", at positions 28 to 507 of the family's 1533-position model. The record is from RNAcentral.